Molecule: non-coding RNA, 23 nt
Filed under: Rattus norvegicus (Norway rat)
Lineage: Eukaryota; Metazoa; Chordata; Mammalia; Rodentia; Muridae
Source: RNAcentral
UGCUACAGGUCUGGGGAGAGCCG